UACAGAGGUCUCAAGCGUUGUUCGGAUUUAUUGGGCGUAAAGGGUGCGUAGGUGGCGGGGUUAGUCUGGUGUGAAAUCUCGGAGCUCAACUCCGAAACUGCACUGGAUACUGCCUUGCUUGAGUACUGGAGAGGAGAUUGGAAUUUACGGUGUAGCAGUGAAAUGCGUAGAUAUCGUGAGGAAGACCAGUGGCGAAGGCAGAUCUCUGGACAGUUACUGACGCUGAGGCACGAAGGCCAGGGGAGCAAACAGG
This 253-nucleotide ribosomal RNA is filed under the name uncultured bacterium. RNAcentral's name for it is "partial 16S ribosomal RNA". It matches the Rfam family "Bacterial small subunit ribosomal RNA", at positions 524 to 776 of the family's 1533-position model. The record is from RNAcentral.